AUCGCUUCUCGGCCUUUUGGCUAAGAUCAAGUGUAGGAAUUGACUUUAUUUCUUGAGGUAUGUGUAUUACAUAUUUGGAGUACUUAAUUUUGAUCUACCCAUCGCCUCUGACCACUGUGGUACAUUAU
Small nuclear RNA from Rattus norvegicus (Norway rat), 128 nucleotides. Ensembl annotates it as U2 spliceosomal RNA. NCBI's taxonomy places the organism in Eukaryota, Metazoa, Chordata, Mammalia, Rodentia, Muridae. The record is from Ensembl.